Molecule: long non-coding RNA, 783 nt
Filed under: Salvia miltiorrhiza (redroot sage)
Lineage: Eukaryota; Viridiplantae; Streptophyta; Magnoliopsida; Lamiales; Lamiaceae
Description: long non-coding RNA (SMIL_LNC007688)
Source: RNAcentral
UCGAAGGCAUUAUCAGCUUCGUCUCAACAGAUUGGAAUAUACCAACUAUAAUAUAAUGACAUUUCACCUCUCAUAAAUUGAAAAUCAAAAUCUUCAUAAAUUAAAUAAAUAACCUUACCAAAUAUGUUCCAAAUUCAAAUCUCUUAUGCUAAUCUUCUCGACCAUUUAUACUAAUUAAGAAAACCCUAGCCAGAUUUAGGUGGAGGAAAUGGGAAACGAAGGGGAGAGCGAAUCACGAAAACCUCAUUACAACAUCUCCAUGUCAAGAAGAACAAGAAAGGGUGAUAAGAAAAGGUGUGAGGAGAGAGAGAUGAGGAGCGAGAAUCAGAAAAUUAGCUUGAAGCAGUUUAUGGAAGGAAGAUGUUCGCUGGCGCAACACUUCAGAGAGGAGGAGAAGCAGCAGAGCGAGAGUGAUGAACGGCUCGGAUUGAAGAGAUCGAUGAAGACAAAUUAUGCUCAGCUUCUCACCCAUCUCAUCAAGGUAAACCACGAAUCCUAUAUUAGGUCAUGGAGGAAAUCUGCAGUUUCACUAAAACUUAUCAAGUACAAGUGAAAACUCCCACCAUCAUUUAUAUAUGUAUAUAUAUUCAUCAUCUGGGAACUUUCUCACGAUUUAUUGAAGAUGCCUUGUACAAUUUAUGUAUAGUAUGCUGAGAUCUUGUGGUAUUGUGCUGAUUCAACCUUUUUUUUUUCUUUUUCUUUUGAUGAAUUGGUGUAAGAUAUAUGUAUGUAUCAUGUUGGUACUUGGUAUUUAAUAAAAUAAAACAAAAAAUUUAGUCGGAA